Molecule: non-coding RNA, 85 nt
Organism: Cordylochernes scorpioides
Lineage: Eukaryota; Metazoa; Arthropoda; Arachnida; Pseudoscorpiones; Chernetidae
Source: the annotation of a GenBank genome assembly
UGUCAGAAAUGGGAUUCAAAUCCACACCUACAAGAGUAGAUUGCAACCUGAGCGCAGCGCCUUAGACCGCUCGGGUCAUCCUGAC